UCCGGUUGAUCCUGCCAGAGGCCACUGCUAUCGGUGUUCGACUAAGCCAUGCGAGUCAAAUGUUCUUCGUGAACAUGGCGUACUGCUCAGUAACACGUGGAUAACCUGCCCUUAGGUUCGGCAUAACCCCGGGAAACUGGGGAUAAUUCCGGAUAGAUCAUAGAUGCUGGAAUGCGCUGUGGUCCAAAGCUAUUGCGCCUAAGGAUGGGUCUGCGGUCUAUCAGGUCGUAGUGGGUGUAAUGUACCUACUAGCCUACGACGGAUACGGGUUGUGGGAGCAAGAGCCCGGAGAUGGAUUCUGAGACAUAAAUCCAGGCCCUACGGGGCGCAGCAGCGCGAAAACUUUACAAUGCGGGGAACCGCGAUAGGGACACCGAGUGCCAGCAUCCUAUGUUGGCUGUCCAUAUGUCUAAAUCGCAUAUGUUAGCAAGGGCCGGGCAAGACCGGUGCCAGCCGCCGCGGUAACACCGGCGGCCCGAGUGAUGGCCACUAAUAUUGGGUCUAAAGGGUCCGUAGCCGGCUUGGUCAGUCUUCCGGGAAAUCUGACGGCUUAACCGUUAGGCUUCCGGGGGAUACUACCAGGCUUGGGACCGGGAGAGGUAAGAGGUACUACGGGGGGUAGGAGUGAAAUCUUGUAAUCCCCGUGGGACUACCUGUGGCGAAGGCGUCUUACCAGAACGGGUCCGACGGUGAGGGACGAAAGCUGGGGGCACGAACCGGAUUAGAUACCCGUAGUCCCAGCCGUAAACUAUGCUCGCUAGGUGUCAGGGACGGUGCGACCGUUUCUGGUGCCGCAGGGAAGCCGUGAAGCGAGCCACAUGGGAAGUACGGUCGCAAGGCUGAAACUUAAAGGAAUUGGCGGGA
This 864-nucleotide ribosomal RNA is filed under the name uncultured Methanomethylovorans sp. RNAcentral describes it as "bacterial SSU rRNA". It matches the Rfam family "Archaeal small subunit ribosomal RNA", at positions 1 to 873 of the family's 1478-position model. The record is from RNAcentral. Lineage: Archaea; Methanobacteriati; Methanobacteriota; Methanomicrobia; Methanosarcinales; Methanosarcinaceae.